Long non-coding RNA from Lagopus leucura (white-tailed ptarmigan), 719 nucleotides. RefSeq lists it as uncharacterized. The transcript has 2 exons. The record is from RefSeq and is a predicted model, not a curated record. NCBI's taxonomy places the organism in Eukaryota, Metazoa, Chordata, Aves, Galliformes, Phasianidae.
UUUGGGAGCGGGCUGCGAGAGUCCCGUCGCUCCGCGUUGAACUCGGCCGGUGGGCGAGGGGCCGCGCGUUCCCCGAAAUCCUUCGGGCUCCGGCACGGCAGCGUGGCCGAGCUGGGCGUGCUGAGCGGGUGUAGCGGCAGCACGUGCCCGGGAGACGGGAGAGAGGCGGCGGGGCUCCGGCCCGGCCCUGUCAUCUGCUCGCACCGCGUGCCUCCGUGCUGCGGCCUAACAGCUGGCGGGCCCCGGUUCCACGGGCCUGGGAGACAGCUGCCUUCUUGUUUCGCUUCACCUGGGAGCUGGAAACUCCUUCUUGACGAAACCCAAGCCGUGCGGCUUCCGGACAUCUUGAAGAAAAGGUGCUCCGGUGGUUGGCGUGGAGGGAAGGGGCUGAAGGAGGAGGAGACCUCAGGCCUACCGCAGUACGUCCAGCAUGGCCGUGUUCACUCAGCUUCUGCUGGCAGCAGGGAACUUCCAAAAACUGGAAGUACGACUUGUCAUACUGUGAGAGUGUGUAGCUGCACCGAGUGCCUGGAAGUCGCUCAAUAAGCACGUGCUGGACGCGACUGCAAUCCGUAGCUGGAACACUACACAGCGAUUGGAUUUGUGCAAAGUAGUUGGCUAUCCUCCGUAUCUCUCUGUAAAAAGUAUUCUCAGUGGUUUCUUUGUAAACUAAAAGUAAAAAUAAUGCAAUGGCUUAUAAAUACAACAUGAAAUCUUAA